This 427-nucleotide ribosomal RNA is filed under the name uncultured bacterium. RNAcentral's name for it is "bacterial SSU rRNA". It matches the Rfam family "Bacterial small subunit ribosomal RNA", at positions 355 to 796 of the family's 1533-position model. The record is from RNAcentral.
UGGGGAAUUUUGUGCAAUGGGCGAAAGCCUGACACAGCGACACCGCGUGAGCGAAGAAGCCCUUUGGGGUGUAAAGCUCUGUCGGCUGGAACGAAAAAAAUGACGGUACCAGCAGAGGAAGCAUCGGCUAACUACGUGCCAGCAGCCGCGGUAAGACGUAGGAUGCGAGCGUUGUCCGGAUUUAUUGGGCGUAAAGAGUUCGUAGGUGGUUUGUUAAGUCUGAUGUUAAAGAACGAGGCUCAACCUCGGAAAUGCAUUGGAUACUGACAGACUUGAGUGCAGUAGAGGCGAGUGGAAUUCCCAGUGUAGCGGUGAAAUGCGUAGAUAUUGGGAAGAACACCAGUGGCGUAAGCGACUCGCUGGGCUGUAACUGACACUGAGGAACGAAAGCCAGGGGAGCAAAUGGGAUUAGAUACCCCCGUAGUCC